UUUCUCCUACGGGGGGCAGCAGUGGGGAAUAUUGCACAAUGGGGGAAACCCUGAUGCAGCGACGCCGCGUGAGUGAAGAAGUAUUUCGGUAUGUAAAGCUCUAUCAGCAGGGAAGAAAAUGACGGUACCUGACUAAGAAGCCCCGGCUAACUACGUGCCAGCAGCCGCAGUAAUACGUAGGGGGCAAGCGUUAUCCGGAUUUACUGGGUGUAAAGGGAGCGUAGGCGGCAUGGUAAGCCAGAAGUGAAAACCCGGGGCUCAACCCCGCGGCUUGCUUGUGGAACUAUCAGGCUG
RNAcentral lists this ribosomal RNA (294 nucleotides) under uncultured bacterium. RNAcentral's name for it is "partial 16S ribosomal RNA". It matches the Rfam family "Bacterial small subunit ribosomal RNA", at positions 333 to 643 of the family's 1533-position model. The record is from RNAcentral.